ACUGAAAAUCCUCGUGU
RNAcentral lists this transfer RNA (17 nucleotides) under Macromitrium japonicum. RNAcentral describes it as "partial tRNA-Phe". The record is from RNAcentral. RNAcentral also lists the same sequence under 6 other names. Lineage: Eukaryota; Viridiplantae; Streptophyta; Bryopsida; Orthotrichales; Orthotrichaceae.